RNAcentral lists this ribosomal RNA (302 nucleotides) under uncultured bacterium. Its description in RNAcentral is "partial 16S ribosomal RNA". It matches the Rfam family "Bacterial small subunit ribosomal RNA", at positions 508 to 809 of the family's 1533-position model. The record is from RNAcentral.
GCAGCAGCCGCGGGAAUACGAAGGGUGCAAGCGUUACUCGGAAUUACUGGGCGUAAAGCGUGUGUAGGUGGUUGUUUAAGUCUGUCGUGAAAGCCCUGGGCUCAACCUGGGAAUUGCGAUGGAUACUGGGCGACUAGAGUGCGGUAGAGGAUAGUGGAAUUUCCGGUGUAGCAGUGAAAUGCGUAGAGAUCGGAAGGAACAUCUGUGGCGAAGGCGACUAUCUGGGCCAACACUGACACUGAGACACGAAAGCGUGGGGAGCAAACAGGAUUAGAUACCCCAGUAGUCCCUGUCUCUUAUAA